CCUACGGGGUGCAGCAGUGGGGAAUAUUGGACAAUGGGCGAAAGCCUGAUCCAGCCAUGCCGCGUGUGUGAAGAAGGCCUUCGGGUUGUAAAGCACUUUCAGUGGGGAAGAAAGCCUUGGGGCUAAUACCCUCGAGGAAGGACAUCACCCACAGAAGAAGCACCGGCUAACUCCGUGCCAGCAGCCGCGGUAAUACGGAGGGUACGAGCGUUAAUCGGAAUUACUGGGCGUAAAGCGCGCGUAGGCGGUCUGAUAAGCCGGUUGUGAAAGCCCCGGGCUCAACCUGGGAACGGCAUCCGGAACUGUCAGGCUAGAGUGCAGGAGAGGAAGGUAGAAUUCCCGGUGUAGCGGUGAAAUGCGUAGAGAUCGGGAGGAAUACCAGUGGCGAAGGCGGCCUUCUGGACUGACACUGACGCUGAGGUGCGAAAGCGUGGGUAGCAAACAGGAUUAGAUACCCUUGUAGUC
Molecule: ribosomal RNA, 465 nt
Filed under: Vreelandella stevensii
Lineage: Bacteria; Pseudomonadati; Pseudomonadota; Gammaproteobacteria; Oceanospirillales; Halomonadaceae
Description: partial 16S ribosomal RNA
Rfam family: Bacterial small subunit ribosomal RNA
Source: RNAcentral